UCCAAUGAAGGUGGCAUUUGUUAGCUAGGUGGGUUAACACUAUACUGCCAAUACCCAUAUCGCAACAUUAGAGACAAUAGCGAAUGCUAGCUAUACAGUCGCAGCAAUGAAGAACGCGAAGGGGGAGAGAUUUUCAACACAACACCGUCAAAAGACAGCCCAACGUUACCUUGGUAUGGUUUGACUGAAUGUAAGUGGUUGGACUAGGCGUAAUCAAACUUUCUUGGCCCGUGACAACAGUGAUGGAUGGACCAGCCUGGAGACAUGGGAAACAGUACAGGUGCAUGCACACCAUUAGCACCUCGUAUUACUGUGUUUGAUUAUUCUUAGUGCAUUGCAUUUCCUUUUGACUUCAACCAGCCCAUAGAAUGGAUGCACAGAAUCAGUGAAUGUGAAUGUUCUGAAGAAUUUUAAAAACCUGUUCUGUCUGUCCCAUCCAUCCUCCAUAUCUUUACCAGUUGUUCACAUAUUCUACCAUUACUGCCAUGUCUCAUUGUUGCAUGUAGUUAGCUGUAAAGCAGUCUAUUUUACAGUGUAAAGGAUGAAUUCUAUACACAGUUGGAACUCUCUUUCACUUCAAAUCAUGCUUUGAUUUGCGUAACAAUUAGAAUUUGGCAUGUAUUGACUUACACGAUAGAUGAUAGGUUCACAGGAGGUUGGUGGCACCUUAAUUGGGGCUCGUGGUAAUGACUGGAGGGGACUCAGUGGAAUGGUAUCAAAUACAGUGCCUUG
Long non-coding RNA from Oncorhynchus masou masou (cherry salmon), 732 nucleotides. RefSeq lists it as uncharacterized. The record is from RefSeq and is a predicted model, not a curated record. NCBI's taxonomy places the organism in Eukaryota, Metazoa, Chordata, Actinopteri, Salmoniformes, Salmonidae. The transcript is spliced from 3 exons.